RNAcentral lists this long non-coding RNA (1863 nucleotides) under Salmo trutta (river trout). RNAcentral's name for it is "lncRNA (ENSSTUG00000017315.1)". Lineage: Eukaryota; Metazoa; Chordata; Actinopteri; Salmoniformes; Salmonidae. The record is from RNAcentral.
UCACAAUUUCUAGUUCUCUGAUUCACUGUAUGUAAGUGAACCUGUGUGUUUCAUGGGCAUACAAUCAGUGAAGUCAAAACAUCAGCCAAAUAGCAAUGCUAAUUCAGGGUAACAGUUUGAGUCAUGGUGUAUAAUAUGAACAAGUCAUAUGGUGAUUUUAAUUUCCUUAACCUCUGACGGGAGUAGUUACUGCCCACUCAAAAAUGUGUGUGUGUGUGUGUGUGUGUGUGUAGCAUGCUUGCUCCACUGGGUCCCAAUGACGUGUGUGUCCCAGCCACCCUGCCCCUGGCCUAACUUUAUUUACACCCUCUGCCAGGGCAUUCAGAUUCAGGUUAUUCUGGUUUCAUACUAGAGCAGGACAUGAGUCACCCCGCCUUCUUACAGAUAGAUAAUGAUCCCCACCUGAUAGAAUCUAGACUAAAACACUACUUAGCACCUAUUCUUGUUCCACAGCCACUUGUCUUUGACACAAUAGUGUUACAAGAUUUGCAAGCAACGCUGGACAACACCUGUGAUGUUCGUGUACACAAUGUAAAUUAACAAGCCCCAGGUAAAAAAAAUCAAAAUAAAUGAGUUGGUGAAUAUGUUAACCUUUUUCAGUGGGCGUAUGUCACACUUUGAAUACCAACAUGUUACACUUCCAUAGUAAAUGUCACCAAAUGAUAUUGCUGAUGUAAUAUGUUUGUGAAUAAUGUUAUUCUAUCUUAGGUAAUGACACCUGUCUCACUCUGACUGCAUAUACCAGUGCCUUGCAGUGGGAAACAGUACUAGGUGUGGUGUACCUGUUAUUAGAAAUGGGGAGGACCAUAGAGAUAAGAUAGUUAAGAGAGAUAAGAAUGCACCUGAUACAUGUGACACACAAUACAACAAAAACAUCACUGCAAUAAACAGGUUAAAGCACAUUUCAUGUCCCAGAGAUCCGUGACCCUCUGACUUGACAAAAUGGGACUCUCAGGGGAAAAGGAGAUUAGAAUGAAGCUGCGUUCUUGAUUCACCUAACACUGUGCCUGAUGAAAAAUGUAUAAGUGUCAAUAUCAGACAUCACCCCAGUGGCUUGAAAUGGAACCUUGUUGGAGGUGAUACAUUACCCUAUUUUGUCAUUAACAGCUGUCAGCUCCGAAACUAAAGAUAGACCAAAUAAACAAUAAAAUGGGUAACCAGUCUGAGGCUACAAACACUUUGGGUCGUUGAAAAGAGCUAGCUAUAUUAUAGAUAAUUAGCAAUUAUCACUAAUGUGUCCUACUGUAGGCUUACAAUGUCUCAUAAAACCUUUAUUAAAACGUAACAGUAGGUGGAUCCAUCAAGUUCAACAUUUUACAGAAAUGCUAUCAGUAGCAAAGCAUAUAAAACAAGCAAAAAUAAAUGUCAUUACAUUAUACAUUUCUGGUUUGUUCAAAGAAAUGUGGUAGAUUAAUUGAAAAAAUUAUAAAAGUAAAAAAUUGUAAAAUAAAAAAAUGGGACCUUAAUUUUUGCAACUGUAAUAAUUGACUUUAUAGCCCAUCAUUACUUUUUAAUUCUAGGUUUGCUUUCAUAUGGUUAGUCCUCCGAGAGGGAUCUGGUUCUGCAUCCCAAUUCUCUACUCGUCUACUCUAAGUGUGCAUAUGUUCACUUCCCUUCAUGGAUUUAAAAAGAAAGGACAUGUAGGCCUAUGAUGGCAAUUCCCUCUAGUCUAAACCAUGCUUAAACCAAUACUUUGCUUUUGAGUAUGUAGGGGGGAGUGCACACUUUAGGAGAAUGAUAGGGAAUUGGGAUGCAGAGCAAAUAGAUUUCUUCUUUACGUCAGGGUAUACGCCUUGCAGUACAUUACACCACAGCCCUCCUUGGUUUCAAAUCGUAGAUUUUAGACCUUCCCCUCUGACUGAG